This 263-nucleotide long non-coding RNA is filed under the name Setaria viridis. RNAcentral's name for it is "long non-coding RNA (SVIR_LNC008329)". The record is from RNAcentral. Lineage: Eukaryota; Viridiplantae; Streptophyta; Magnoliopsida; Poales; Poaceae.
UCAAUAGUAAUAUUCAGAACAAUAGACAUGCUAGACCAUGUAAAUAAGUAGAAACCAGGAGAGCUCUUUAUUGAAAUUGGGGGCAACUUGGGCUGCACUGAAAUGGGGUGUAACCCCUCCUCAUCCUGUUGUGCAGUACGGACCAUACGAUGUAUGAGGAAUGUGGGACUCCAGUGGUGGAACGAGGGAGCUUUGUCCAUGGCGAGCAUUCCAAUGCCCACGGUGACAGUAGCCACCAAAACGGCAGUGACCGCGACGAGCAC